This is a non-coding RNA of Mycena vitilis, 85 nucleotides long. NCBI's taxonomy places the organism in Eukaryota, Fungi, Basidiomycota, Agaricomycetes, Agaricales, Mycenaceae. The record is from the annotation of a GenBank genome assembly.
UGCCCCUUGGCCCAGUUGGUGAAGGCGCACGACUGUUAAUUCGCGCUCAAUCGUGAGAUCGCAAGUUCGAACCUUGCAGGGGCAG